GAUGUCUGAGGAAUAGUCUUAGUGGAUUAUCCCAAACUUGACACAUUUUUUGCAAAAUGCUAUACAAAAAGAAGAUACAUGCGAUUAUGACAAGAUUCUCCACUUGGUGUGACCAGUCUCAUACAACCCAAGGCUGUGUGUCCAAAGGCAACUGCACUUCUGGGACUGGAAACAAUUUGGGAACAUUUUUCAUUGCAUAUUUGGCUCAGAUCUGCCACUUAGUUGAAGUAUAAUCUUCAGCAAGUGACUCAAAAUUUCUGAAUCUCGUUUUCACCAUCAAUACAUGACAAUAAUAUUUUCUCCUUUAAGUAUUUGAAAGUUUUGAGAAAGCCACAAUAGCAACACUUGCAAAAGUGCUCCAUUGUAAAAUGCAAGGGAGAGGUAGUUGUGACCCUUUGGGGAAAACUAUAGUUGCCACAAUUGUCUCUGAAGUGAAGCAUGUUUCUUAGACUGAAGGAAAGCCCUGGGAGAGAUUGGUCUAGCUUUAGGAUGACUGUGGGUAGAGCUUCUAGGGAGAAGAAUGAAACGUAUUCCUCUUCCUUCUUUCUAGGAAUACUGGAAAGCAUUUAUUUGUUUGCUAAAUUGCUCUCUUUCCACCAGCGAUAUCAACUCUGAAAUACUUUUUAGAUCUUGACAAUAAUCAAAAGGUAGCCAGGUGCAUCGG
RNAcentral lists this non-coding RNA (664 nucleotides) under Pan troglodytes (chimpanzee). The record is from RNAcentral. Lineage: Eukaryota; Metazoa; Chordata; Mammalia; Primates; Hominidae.